GGAGGGAUCAUUAACACGUGCCAAAACACGUUUUACACCAAUCGCUCUGUGAACACAAACCCAACUCCCUUCACAUAUGGACGAUCGAACAACCAUCAGGGUGGAGAGCAAGUGCAUGCGGACAAUCGAUUCUUCGGAAUCGACUCGGUAUGUCUUGCGACUAUGGCUCGGUCUAGGGCUCCUUGAGAGUCCAAUCCUGUGUGAAGUGUUGCGCGACCACCUGGCAGUGUGCCGUUUUCAUGUCCUGCAUUCGUGCGGGCUGUGUUAAUGUGCAAGCGUUCUGCCGAAUUUAUUUAACCCCAUUUUUUAACCCCUUUAACAACAUACUAAUAACUGAACCAUGUUCAUGCAGUUUGCCUGUGUUGACUUCGGUCAUCGCAUGUUGGCUCAUGAUACGAUAUACGUAAUGCUGAACAACUCUUAGCAAUGGAUAUCUUGGUUCUCGUAACGAUGAAGAACGCAGCGAAAUGCGAUACGUAAUGCGAAUUGCAGAAUUCAGUGAAUCAUCAAAUCUUUGAACGCAAAUGGCGCUUCUGGGAUAGGCCUAGGAGCAUGCCUCUCUGAGUAUCGGUUCUAUCUAUCAACGACAGCGUGCUUGGAAACAGGCCACGACUGCGCAGUUGGAAAAUGAGCGUCUGAUUGCGCAAGCAAAUCAGUCACUUUAAACAGAUAGAAGCUUGAAUCGCACUAGAGGAAUGUUUCUGCUCGCCGUCAAAAAGCGAGUGGAAGACGAGUUGUUAUGGCUCCAUUCUAUAUGCUAGUGACGUGGAUAGAAGUACCCUUAUGUGGUCUUUCAAAACGUCUGCUAGUUGAAUGUUUGCUGUUUCAUGUUCGUGUAAGCUCUGGUUAAGUUGGUUCAGUAAAGUUUCUGACUCGAAUUCCCCUUGUCUCCGGACUUGGGUUGUUUGAAUUAGAUCUCAGAUGAAGCAAGAGGACCCCCUGAAUUUAAGCAUAUUAUUAAGGGGAGGAAAAGAAACUAACAAGGAUUCCCCUAGUAACGGCGAGUGAAGCGGGAUCAAGCUCAAUCUGGGAAUCGAGAGUGGAAGCCCACGCCUCGAGUUGUAUCCUAGAGACGUAUUGUCAGCGUGUGACCUCGGUACAAAUCUUUUGAAACAAGGUAUCAUAGAGGGUGAGAAUCCCGUCCAUGACCGAGAGUUCGCCGCGUACGACGUAUGUUUUCCGAGUCGAGUUGUUUGGGAUUGCAGCUCUAAACGGGUGGUAAAUUUCAUCUAAAGCUAAAUAUCGACGAGAGACCGAUAGCGAACAAGUACCGUGAGGGAAAGAUGAAAAGAACUUUGAAAAGAGAGUUAAAAAGUACUUGAAAUUGUUAAGAGGGAAGCGCUAGCAAGCAGUCAUGACAUCAGGCUAUGCUUAGUAGUGGACACCGAAAUCAACUGCGGACCAGAUCGAAAGACUGUGUCGGGAAGAGGACGAGUGGCUGCUGCGUCAUGUAGUCUGGUGUGGGUCAGAGUCAAUUCGGCUCGCGGUUGAAGGCCAGCGGAAAGGUAGGGUCUCCGGACCUGUUAUAGUCCGUUGGUUGUACCGUGGUCUGGAUUGAGGAUUGAUAAUGGACGCCGUAAGGUUUCGGCGCUGCUUUCCUGUUGGGUCGGUUGGCUUAGAGGACAACGUCCUGUGGGCUGGCUUGGCUUGGCACUGGGGGUAGCUGCCAGAUGUCCAUUCGCGAUUCUGACGAAAUGCUUGCUAUCGACCCGUCUUGAAACACGGACCAAGGAGUCUAACAUAUAUGCGAGUAUUUGGGUGCAAAACUCUGAUGCGCAAUGAAAGUAAAGGCAGUUUCGGCUGCUGAGGUAGGAAGGGGUCACUCCCGGCACUAUCGACCGAUCGUCACUUGUGAUUGAUUUGAGUGUGAGCAUAUCUGUUGGGACCCGAAAGAUGGUGAUCUAUGCCUGAACAGGGUGAAGCCAGGGGAAACUCUGGUGGAGGCUCGUAGCGAUACUGACGUGCAAAUCGUUCGUCUGAUUUGGGUAUAGGGGCGAAAGACUAAUCGAACCAUCUAGUAGCUGGUUCCCUC
Molecule: unclassified non-coding RNA, 2032 nt
Filed under: uncultured fungus
Lineage: Eukaryota; Fungi
Description: sequence contains 18S rRNA gene, ITS1, 5.8S rRNA gene, ITS2, 28S rRNA gene
Rfam family: Eukaryotic large subunit ribosomal RNA (bases 913-2032)
Source: RNAcentral